This 466-nucleotide ribosomal RNA is filed under the name uncultured bacterium. RNAcentral's name for it is "partial 16S ribosomal RNA". It matches the Rfam family "Bacterial small subunit ribosomal RNA", at positions 338 to 795 of the family's 1533-position model. The record is from RNAcentral.
CCUACGGGAGGCUGCAGUGGGGAAUAUUGCGCAAUGGGCGAGAGCCUGACGCAGCGACGCCGCGUGAGGGAUGAAGGUCUUCGGAGCGUAAACCUCUGUCAGGAGGGAAGUAGAGGUUAUAUGCUAAUAGUGUAUGACUUUGACUGUACCUCCAAAGUAAGCACCGGCUAACUCCGUGCCAGCAGCCGCGGUAAUACGGAGGGUGCGAGCGUUAAUCGGAAUCACUGGGCGUAAAGGGCGCGUAGGUGGCUUUUCAAGUCAGGGGUGAAAUCCGACGGCCCAAACGUGGAACUGCAUUUGAAACUGUAGAGCGUGAGUGUCGGUGAGGGUGGCGGAAUUCGAGGUGUAGGAGUGAAAUGCGUAGAUAUCGGGAGGAACACCGGUGGCGAAGGCGGCCACCUGGACGACAACUGACGCUGAGGUGCGAAAGCGUGGGUAGCAAACAGGAUUAGAUACCCUUGUAGUC